GCUCAGAUUGAACGCUGGCGGCAGGCCUAACACAUGCAAGUCGAGCGGAUGAAGUGAGCUUGCUCAUGGAUUCAGCGGCGGACGGGUGAGUAAUGCCUAGGAAUCUGCCUGGUAGUGGGGGACAACGUUCCGAAAGGGGCGCUAAUACCGCAUACGUCCUACGGGAGAAAGUGGGGGAUCUUCGGACCUCACGCUAUCAGAUGAGCCUAGGUCGGAUUAGCUAGUUGGUGGGGUAAUGGCUCACCAAGGCGACGAUCCGUAACUGGUCUGAGAGGAUGAUCAGUCACACUGGAACUGAGACACGGUCCAGACUCCUACGGGAGGCAGCAGUGGGGAAUAUUGGACAAUGGGCGAAAGCCUGAUCCAGCCAUGCCGCGUGUGUGAAGAAGGUCUUCGGAUUGUAAAGCACUUUAAGUUGGGAGGAAGGGCAGUAAGCGAAUACCUUGCUGUUUUGACGUUACCAACAGAAUAAGCACCGGCUAACUCU
This 487-nucleotide ribosomal RNA is filed under the name Pseudomonas citronellolis. Its description in RNAcentral is "bacterial SSU rRNA". It matches the Rfam family "Bacterial small subunit ribosomal RNA", at positions 22 to 504 of the family's 1533-position model. Lineage: Bacteria; Pseudomonadati; Pseudomonadota; Gammaproteobacteria; Pseudomonadales; Pseudomonadaceae. The record is from RNAcentral.